CUGAAGGUGGGCUGGGUGCUCGGGGCGUUUCUAGGCCUCUGCCCUAUUGUGAGGUCACGGGCUGACUGUGACUCUUGGGUGACAUCACAGAGCUCACAGGUAGAUGGAGAUUUGCUUUCUGGUAGGUGUUGCGUUCAUAGUUUUCAGGUAGAGUUUUCAGAGUUAGAAGUUAAAUAGAGUCUGGCAAGCAGGAGUUCACCCAAGGACUUCCACAGCGGCUGUUUCACAAAUACUGAACAUUAAAUGAUUUUCUGAAGUAUCAGACGUAACAGAUGUUGGAUUGCUGUUGAUAAAUGCACCAGCUGGAAUAGCUCUGGUACCGGAUAUAAAAUCAGUGCUAUCCCGGGUAGUUUUUACCGGGUGGUAAUGGGGCAGUGCUUCCUUCCCCUUCUCCUAACCUUGCUUAGUUUCCCUCUCAGUGGUGACUGACUUUUAACGUGACUUGGGUGGAGAGUGAAGUACUGUUGUAAAGCCGUAGAUUGGCUUGGGUCGGUAGGGGCCUCAAAGACCAUCUGGUUCCCACCCCCCUGUUGCGGGCAGGGUUGAAAACCGC
This 553-nucleotide long non-coding RNA is filed under the name Gallus gallus (chicken). Lineage: Eukaryota; Metazoa; Chordata; Aves; Galliformes; Phasianidae. The record is from RNAcentral.